CAUAUCAUAUCUAGCUUGGCUUGUUGUUGGGCCCUUUGUCACUGGGUGACAGGUCCGAAAGACAAUGGCCGGUGUCAUACAGACUCCCUAUGCAACGAGCUUAUAACGGCACGCAUCUGGUGGUUAUGUGACCCGGUUUGCACCCUUUUCCUUCUCAA
This 158-nucleotide unclassified non-coding RNA is filed under the name uncultured Herpotrichiellaceae. RNAcentral describes it as "sequence contains ITS2". The record is from RNAcentral. Lineage: Eukaryota; Fungi; Ascomycota; Eurotiomycetes; Chaetothyriales; Herpotrichiellaceae.